RNAcentral lists this transfer RNA (86 nucleotides) under Cyanophage P-RSM1. RNAcentral describes it as "tRNA-Leu". It matches the Rfam family "tRNA". Rfam says of the family: Transfer RNA (tRNA) molecules are approximately 80 nucleotides in length. The record is from RNAcentral. Lineage: Duplodnaviria; Heunggongvirae; Uroviricota; Caudoviricetes; Pantevenvirales; Kyanoviridae.
GGGAGUGUGGCGGAAUCGGUAGACGCACCAGACUUAAAAUCUGUUGACCUUGAGUCGUGGGGGUUCAAGUCCCCCCACUCCUACUA